CAGCCGUAAACUAUGCGCGUUAGGUGUAUCGGUGACCACGAGUUACCGAGGUGCCGAAGGGAAACCGUGAAACGUGCCGCCUGGGAAGUACGGUCGCAAGGCUGAAACUUAAGGAAUUGGCGGGGGAGCACCACAACAGGUGGAGCCUGCGGUUUAAUUGGACUCAACGCCGGGAAGCUCACCGGAUAGGACAGCAGAAUGAUUGCCGGGCUGAAGACCCUGCAUGACUAGCUGAGAGGAGGUGGCAUGGCGUAGACGUCU
RNAcentral lists this ribosomal RNA (261 nucleotides) under uncultured archaeon. RNAcentral describes it as "partial 16S ribosomal RNA". It matches the Rfam family "Archaeal small subunit ribosomal RNA", at positions 748 to 1009 of the family's 1478-position model. The record is from RNAcentral.